AGAGUUUGAUCAUGGCUCAAGACGAACGCUGGCGGCGUGCCUAACACAUGCAAGUCGAGGGUUUGAUUUAUCAGACACUGGCAUCCGGGUGAGUAACGCGUAGGUCAUCUGCCCCUAUCACAGACAUAACAGUUCUAACGGACUGCUAAUAUCUGAUGAGGCGAGCAAUCGUCAAAGCUUAGGCGGAUAGGGAUGAGCCUGCGUCUGAUUAGGUAGUUGGUGAGGUAAUGGCUCACCAAGCCUUCGAUCAGUAGCUGGUCUGAGAGGACGAACAGCCACACUGGAACUGAGACACGGUCCAGACUCCUACGGGAGGCAGCAGUGAGGAAUAUUGGUCAAUGGGCGCAAGCCUGAACCAGCGACACCGCGUGCGGGAUGAAGGGGCUUUGCCUCGUAAACCGCUGUCGGGUGGGACGAAAGGUAGCUUUGAGCUACUGGGACGGUACCAUCAAAGGAAGGAUCGGCUAACUACGUGCCAGCAGCCGCGGUAAUACGUAGGAUCCGAGCGUUGUCCGGAGUUACUGGGUGUAAAGGGUGCGUAGGCUGUUCUGUGCGUCAGAGGUGAAAUCCACGGGCUUAACUCGUGGGGUGCCUUUGAUACGGCAGGGCUUGAGUACGAGAGAGGUGCGUGGAAUUCCUGGUGUAGCAGUGAAAUGUGUAGAUAUCAGGAGGA
This 673-nucleotide ribosomal RNA is filed under the name uncultured Fibrobacterota bacterium. RNAcentral describes it as "bacterial SSU rRNA". It matches the Rfam family "Bacterial small subunit ribosomal RNA", at positions 8 to 705 of the family's 1533-position model. The record is from RNAcentral. Lineage: Bacteria; Pseudomonadati; Fibrobacterota.